This 1471-nucleotide ribosomal RNA is filed under the name Candidatus Heimdallarchaeota archaeon. RNAcentral describes it as "bacterial SSU rRNA". It matches the Rfam family "Archaeal small subunit ribosomal RNA". Lineage: Archaea; Promethearchaeati; Candidatus Heimdallarchaeota. The record is from RNAcentral.
AAUGUUGUUGAUGCUGCAAUAGCGGGGCACUCUCAGUCUUGGACUAAGUCAUGCAAGUCUUAUGGCUUUCGGGCCAUGGCGUAAAGCUCAGGAACACGUUGCUAAUCUGCCCUCUGGACAGGCAUAAUCACGGGAAACUGUGGCUAAUACCUGAUAGACGAGGAACCCUGGAAAUGGACCAUCGUUUAAAGGCUUCGGCCGCCGGAGGAUGAGGCUGCGUCUCAUCAGCUUGUAGGUGGUGUAACGGACCACCUAGGCGAUAACGAGUACCGGCACUUACAGGUGUGGCCGGGAGAUUGGUACUGAGAUAAAGACCAAGCCCCCACGGGCUCCAGCAGAUACGAAUAUUACACAAUGCACGAAAGUGUGAUGUGGCGAGGCUGAGUGUUACUCUCACGGGUAACUGUUGCUCACUGUAAAUAGGUGAGUGAGGAAGGAGAGGGCAAGGAUGGUGCCAGCAGCCGCGGUAACACCAUCUCUCCAAGUGCACCGCAAUACUGGGCUUAAAGCGUGCGCAGCCGGAAAGGGUAGUCUUCGGUGAAAUCUAAAAGCCUAACUUUUAGAACUGCUGAAGAAACCACCUUUCUUGGAACUGGAAGAGGCUAGCUGUACUAUCAGGGGAGCGGUGAAAUGUUCAGAUCCUGAUGGGACAACCUGUGGCGAAGGCGGCUAGCUGGGACAGAUUCGACGGUCAGGUACGAAAGCCAGGGGAGCAAAACGGAUUAGAUACCCGUGUAGUCCUGGCCGUAAACGAUGCCUUCUAAGUGUCGGGAUAUCUUCGGAUCUCCCGGUGCUGCUGAGAAAUCCUUAAGAGGGCCGCCUGGGGAUUACGGUCGCAAGACUGAAACUUAAAGCAAUUGACGGGGCUCUACCGGAACGCGUGAGACUUGCGGUUUAAUUGGACUCAACGCCAGAAAUCUUACCUGUGCCGUUUAUAAUAAUGAUUGUCAACUUGAUGAGUUUACUUGAGUUAUGAACUAAUGGUGCAUGGCCCAUUUUAGCUCGUGCCGUGAGGUGUACGCUUAAGUGCGUAAACGUAGCGAGACCCGUGCUCUUAAUUACCAGCGAUGCCCUUGGGCAGUUCGGGGACUAUAAGAGGAUCGCUGCUGUUGAAGCAGAUGAAAGGACGGUCCAGAUGAGGUCAGUAUGCCUUGUAUGUACAGGGCCACACGCGAGUCGCAAUGGUUGCAACAAUGAGAUGCUACGCUGAGAAGUGACGCCAACCUCUAAAUGCAGCCUCAGUAAGGAUUGUCGACUGUAAGCGUCGACAUGAAUAUGGAAUGCGUAGUAAGGAUGCUUCAUUAUGGCGUCCUGAAUACUCCCCUGGAGCUUGCACACACCGCCCGUCGCUUGAUUCGAGUUGGGUUUGGGUGAGGCCUGGUUCUUCGGAUCAGAACGAGCCUGGACUCAGUGAGACGCAAGAAGUCGUAACAAGGUGCCCGUAGCGGAAGCUGCGGGCGGAUCACCUCCU